ACCAGCAAACGACGCAUGUACUGUACAACAGAAAAUCACACAGAGCUCUGCACCAGAGAGAAGUAAAUACAGAUUGUCAAUAUAUUUCAAAACCAUUCUGAAACUUCCACCUCAAACUCUGCAAAGGAAGGGAGCUGAAUGAAAGGAGAUGAUAUUUGAGAUGUGCCUCUCUGUUUUCCUGAGCUGCGAUCACAGUCUGAAUAAGGACAUAUCCACUCCUUCUCUUUUUGAUGAAUCUCUUCUACAUGACGGCGCAUGUUAUGUUUCCGGGUAAACAAUUGAUUGCAACCGGGGAUUGUGCACUUGUAUGGGUGGUCAUGUUUAUCCAUGUGUUUGCUGUUCAUGUACUUAACACAUAGCUCAAGAAAUGGGAACCAUAUUCAAAAAAGGGG
Molecule: small RNA, 392 nt
Filed under: Histoplasma capsulatum
Lineage: Eukaryota; Fungi; Ascomycota; Eurotiomycetes; Onygenales; Ajellomycetaceae
Also listed under: 1 other name
Description: hypothetical RNA
Source: RNAcentral